This 246-nucleotide ribosomal RNA is filed under the name Clostridioides difficile. Its description in RNAcentral is "partial 23S ribosomal RNA". It matches the Rfam family "Bacterial large subunit ribosomal RNA", at positions 1339 to 1581 of the family's 2925-position model. The record is from RNAcentral. Lineage: Bacteria; Bacillati; Bacillota; Clostridia; Peptostreptococcales; Peptostreptococcaceae.
GUAAACCCAAGGUUUCCAGGGGAAGGUUCGUCCGCCCUGGGUUAGUCGGGACCUAAGCUGAGGCCGAAAGGCGUAGGUGAUGGACAACAGGUUGAUAUUCCUGUACUACCGAUAACCGGUUGAGAGAUGGGAUGACACAGUAGGAUAAGCUAAGCACACUGUUGGUUAUGUGUGCCCAAGCAUUGAGGCAGUCAAAGUAGGCAAAUCCGCUUUGAUAAUGCUGGGAUGUGAUGGGGAGCGAAAUUU